UGGAGUUAAUGAUAUUUGUGCUGUCAUUCGUAAUUUGGUUUCAGGUCAGGAUCGAAAGCUCCAUGUUAGUUUCCAUCCCUUCAAUGGAGAUGGAGGAGAUUCAUCAUGUUGUUUAGUCUAUAGACCCUUCAAGUGCUCUUGGUCUUGAUCGCUUUAUCGGCUCUUUAAUUAGUCAAUCUGGUCUCUCAGUAGUCAGUACUGUCCAAUGAAAACUUAUUUCUAAAAAUAAUAAAUAAACGACUUUAAUUUUUUGGGACAAUGCCCCCUAGCCCUAAUUUUAAGAAUUUUAUUCCCACUAACAAAAUUAGAUUUUAAAAUUUCCAAGAGCCAACUUAUACAGCAGAAAGACAAUUAUACCCUUAAUGAAUUAAAUAAACUACAAUAAACCAUUAUAAAAAUCUUUUAUAAAAUAAAGUUUUUAUGACUGAAUUCUCACGACCAAUAACGUUGACCGGGCUCCGGGGACCGUUAACUGGACUUCGGUGACUGUUGGCCGGGCUCCGGCAAUCGUUGACCGGGUUCCGACGACAGUUGACCAGACUCCGACGACCGUUGAUCGGACUCUGACGAAAGUUAGGAGAUCUAUUAGGGGCAGUAGGGGUCUAUUAGGGGCAGUAGGGAAUUUGUCCGGGAAUCUACUAGGGGCAAUAAGAGGUUUGUCCGGUGGUAUACUGGAGGCAGUAGGGGGUGUACUGGGGGCAGUAGGAGGGUGUACUAGGAGCAGUAGGAGGUCUGUCCGGUGGUCUACUGGGGGCAGUAGGGGGGUCUACUGGGGGGCAAUAGGAGGUCUGUCCGAUGGUCUACUAGGGGCAGGACAGUAGGGGGUGUACUGGGGGCAGUAUGAGGGUCUACUGGGGGUAUAUUAAAGGCAGUAGGGGGUCUUUUGGAGGCAAUAUGCAUGAGGUAUGUCCGGGGGUCUACUAGGGGUAGUAGAACAGUCUACUAGGGGCAGUAGAAGGGUCUACUAGGGGUAGUACCUGUAUUUUCUCCACCGCCAAACCCCUCACCAACAACAACAACCAAAUGUACCUUCACCAUCGCCAAAUCCCUCACCACGGCGGUUUCAACCACUGCUACCUACCUCACAAUUCACACUACCAAUUUUGGGAUAUUCAAGCACCAUGGCCUUUAAAAUCUCCUUAUGCCAACCCAAACAUAGACAUCAUCAAUUGUGCAUAUCAGAACAAAUGAAAGAAGGAAAAAAAAAAAAUAACUGUAAACUUGUAUAGUCUAAAAGAUUAGCCCAUCAUCUAAUGACACCAGUAAGCCAAAGAAGACCCAUUACUAACUAUUAAUAUUUUAAAGAUUUUGAUACCACCAUUUUGCUUCUCUCUCACCAAACCCUCCACUGAUCUGACUCUCUCCCAGAUCAGAUCCAAUCCCACCACCAAUGCUCUCUCCCACCUCUCCUCCUCCACCGGAUCUAGCCACCUCAAACCCCUCAUCUAUGCUGCUCCUUCUCCUCCAACUCCACCUCCCCCGAUCACCAUUGAGACCUCCCUGCCUUUCACCUUCCACGUUUGCGACGUGCCCUCCCGCACCAUCAAGAUCUCCUCCCACAUCUGAGAAGCCGAUCUACGACACGGUGAACGACGACGAGUUCGGGGAAUUCAUCAAUGACGACGACGGCCUAGGGUACCUCGACGAUGGCGAGGAAGACGACUGGACAUGCCGCGGGGAUUCGAAAGCAACUCCCAGAGAGAGAGAGAGAGAGAGAGAGAGAGAGAGAGAGAGAGAGAGAGAGAGAGAGAGAGAGAGAGAGAGAGAGAGAGAGA
RNAcentral lists this long non-coding RNA (1775 nucleotides) under Fragaria vesca (wild strawberry). RNAcentral describes it as "long non-coding RNA (FVES_LNC005338)". Lineage: Eukaryota; Viridiplantae; Streptophyta; Magnoliopsida; Rosales; Rosaceae. The record is from RNAcentral.